Molecule: ribosomal RNA, 324 nt
Filed under: uncultured bacterium
Lineage: Bacteria
Description: bacterial SSU rRNA
Rfam family: Bacterial small subunit ribosomal RNA
Source: RNAcentral
GAUGAACGCUGGCGGCGUGCUUAACACAUGCAAGUCGAACGGAGUGCUCAUGACGGAGGAUUCGUCCAACGGAUUGAGUUACUUAGUGGCGGACGGGUGAGUAACGCGUGAGGAACCUGCCUCGGAGUGGGGAAUAACAGACCGAAAGGCCUGCUAAUACCGCAUAAGCGCACAGCAUCGCAUGAUGCAGUGUGAAAAACUCCGGUGGCGUGAGAUGGACCCGCGUUGGAUUAGCUAGUUGGCAGGGCAGCGGCCUACCAAGGCGACGAUCCAUAGCCGGCCUGAGAGGGUGAACGGCCACAUUGGGACUGAGACACGGCCCAG